Molecule: ribosomal RNA, 407 nt
Filed under: Methylobacterium sp.
Lineage: Bacteria; Pseudomonadati; Pseudomonadota; Alphaproteobacteria; Hyphomicrobiales; Methylobacteriaceae
Description: bacterial SSU rRNA
Rfam family: Bacterial small subunit ribosomal RNA
Source: RNAcentral
UGGCUCAGAGCGAACGCUGGCGGCAGGCUUAACACAUGCAAGUCGAGCGGGCCCUUCGGGGUCAGCGGCGGACGGGUGAGUAACGCGUGGGAACGUGCCUUCUGGUCUGGAAUAACCCUGGGAAACUAGGGCUAAUACCGGAUACGCCCUUUUGGGGAAAGGUUUACUGCCGGAAGAUCGGCCCGCGUCUGAUUAGCUAGUUGGUGGGGUAACGGCCUACCAAGGCGACGAUCAGUAGCUGGUCUGAGAGGAUGAUCAGCCACACUGGGACUGAGACACGGCCCAGACUCCUACGGGAGGCAGCAGUGGGGAAUAUUGGACAAUGGGCGCAAGCCUGAUCCAGCCAUGCCGCGUGAGUGAUGAAGGCCUUAGGGUUGUAAAGCUCUUUUAUCCGGGACGAUAAUGAC